UGCCGGCGACCGGCGGACGGGUGCGUAACGCGUAUGUAACCUACCUUUGACAGGGGGAUAACAUCGAGAAAUUGGUACUAAUACCCCAUAACAUCACCGGAGGCAUCUUCGGUGGUUGAAAACUCAGGUGGUCAGAGAUGGACAUGCGUUGUAUUAGCUAGUUGGUGAGGUAACGGCUCACCAAGGCGACGAUACAUAGGGGGACUGAGAGGUUAACCCCCCACAUUGGUACUGAGACACGGACCAAACUCCUACGGAAGGCAGCAG
Molecule: ribosomal RNA, 267 nt
Filed under: uncultured bacterium
Lineage: Bacteria
Description: partial 16S ribosomal RNA
Rfam family: Bacterial small subunit ribosomal RNA
Source: RNAcentral